RNAcentral lists this ribosomal RNA (421 nucleotides) under uncultured bacterium. RNAcentral describes it as "bacterial SSU rRNA". It matches the Rfam family "Bacterial small subunit ribosomal RNA", at positions 355 to 773 of the family's 1533-position model. The record is from RNAcentral.
UGAGGAAUAUUGGUCAAUGGGCGCAAGCCUGAACCAGCCAUGCCGCGUGCAGGAUGAAGCAUCUAUGGUGUGUAAACUGCUUUUGUACGGGAAGAAACCACCCCUCGUGAGGGGUAUUGACGGUACCGUAAGAAUAAGGAUCGUCUAACUCCGUGCCAGCAGCCGCGGUAAUACGGAGGAUCCAAGCGUUAUCCGGUAUCAUUGGGUUUAAAGGGUCCGUAGGCGGUUUAGUAAGUCAGUGGUGAAAGCCCAUCGCUCAACGAUGGAACGGCCAUUGAUACUGCUAGACUUGAAUUAGUAGGAAGUAACUAGAAUAUGUAGUGUAGCGGUGAAAUGCUUAGAUAUUACAUGGAAUACCAAUUGCGAAGGCAGGUUACUACUAAUGGAUUGACGCUGAUGGACAAAAGCGUGGAGAGCGAAC